RNAcentral lists this ribosomal RNA (696 nucleotides) under uncultured bacterium. RNAcentral describes it as "bacterial SSU rRNA". It matches the Rfam family "Bacterial small subunit ribosomal RNA", at positions 77 to 785 of the family's 1533-position model. The record is from RNAcentral.
CCGCAAGGGCACUCGAGCGGCGUAAGGGACAGUAAUGUAUAGGUACGUACCCUUGGGUCUAGGAUAGCUGCGGGAAACUGCAAUUAAUACUAGAUGAUGUCUUCGGACCAAAGGUGUGAUUCCACCCAAGGAGCGGCCUAUAUCCUAUUAGCUAGUUGGGGAGGUGACGGCUCACCAAGGCGAUGAUGGGUAGCAGGUGUGAGAGCACGACCUGCGUCACUGGGACUGAGACACUGCCCAGACACCUACGGGUGGCUGCAGUCGAGAAUAUUCGGCAAUGGGCGAAAGCCUGACCGAGCGACGCCGCAUGCGGGAUGAAGGCCUUCGGGUUGUAAACCGCUGUCGGGGGGGAUGAAAUAUCAGUGGGUUCUCCCAUUGAUUUGACAGAUCUCCGGAGGAAGGGUGGGCUAAGUUCGUGCCAGCAGCCGCGGUAAGACGUACCACCCAAACGUUAUUCGGAAUCACUGGGCUUAAAGAGUCCGUAGGCGGCUCGGAAAGUUGGGUGUGAAAUACCUCGGCUCAACCGAGGAACUGCACUCAAAACUACCAAGCUUGAGAGAGACAGAGGUAAGCGGAACUGAUGGUGGAGCGGUGAAAUGCGUUGAUAUCAUCAGGAACACCGGUGGCGAAAGCGGCUUACUGGGUCUCUUCUGACGCUGAGGGACGAAAGCUAGGGGAGCGAACGGGAUUAGAUAC